RNAcentral lists this long non-coding RNA (284 nucleotides) under Cricetulus griseus (Chinese hamster). RNAcentral's name for it is "lncRNA (ENSCGRG00000025922.1)". Lineage: Eukaryota; Metazoa; Chordata; Mammalia; Rodentia; Cricetidae. The record is from RNAcentral.
UGAAAGGCAACAAGAAAAGAAGAAACUCAGCAAAGCCUGAUGGUAGUAAAGAAACACCAGAAAUUGCGUAUUUUGGUUUGGAUCGCCAAGGUCUCACAGAGGUGUGAGAAACGUGGGCACCAGCCUAUGGCACUGUUGGGAGCCGGUGUAACCUUUAAGAGGCGGGUCCUAUUUGGAAGGGAGACAUUUCAGGACCCUGGCUCCUCCUCUAACACUUUGUCCUCUCUCGGGAACACCUGACCAGCUGCCUCUUCCUCUCCAAGUGGAAGCAACGGAGAUAAUCG